RNAcentral lists this transfer RNA (73 nucleotides) under Myxococcales bacterium. RNAcentral's name for it is "tRNA-Gly". It matches the Rfam family "tRNA". From Rfam's summary of the family: Transfer RNA (tRNA) molecules are approximately 80 nucleotides in length. Their secondary structure includes four short double-helical elements and three loops (D, anti-codon, and T loops). Lineage: Bacteria; Pseudomonadati; Myxococcota; Myxococcia; Myxococcales. The record is from RNAcentral.
GCGCCUGUAGCUCAGUGGUAUGAGCGUCGUUCUGCCAAGCCGAAGGUCGCGGGUUCGACUCCCGCCAGGCGCU